GAUGAAGAACGCAGCGAAAUGCGAUACGUAAUGUGAAUUGCAGAAUUCAGUGAAUCAUCGAGUCUUUGAACGCACAUUGCGCCCCCUGGUAUUCCGGGGGGCAUGCCUGUCCGAGCGUCAUUGCUGCCCUCAAGCACGGCUUGUGUGUUGGGCCUCCGUCCUCCUCCCGGGGGACGGGCCCGAAAGGCAGCGGCGGCACCGCGUCCGGUCCUCGAGCGUAUGGGGCUUCGUCACCCGCUCUUGUAGGCCCGGCCGGCGCUUGCCGACAGAUCAAUCUUUUUUCCAGGUUGACCUCGGAUCAGGUAGGGAUACCCGCUGAACUUAAGCAUAUCAAUAAGCGGAGGA
This 345-nucleotide unclassified non-coding RNA is filed under the name soil metagenome. RNAcentral describes it as "partial contains 5.8S ribosomal RNA, internal transcribed spacer 2, and large subunit ribosomal RNA". The stretch from base 1 to 120 matches the Rfam family "5.8S ribosomal RNA", at positions 35 to 154 of the family's 154-position model. The record is from RNAcentral.